RNAcentral lists this transfer RNA (984 nucleotides) under Rhizobium sp. smk1. RNAcentral describes it as "16S-23S ribosomal RNA intergenic spacer". The stretch from base 226 to 299 matches the Rfam family "tRNA". Lineage: Bacteria; Pseudomonadati; Pseudomonadota; Alphaproteobacteria; Hyphomicrobiales; Rhizobiaceae. The record is from RNAcentral.
UCUAAGGAAGCUGUGGAACUGGUAAGACGACCUUCCGACAAGUCUUUGACUUGUCUCGAGGUAUGAACCUUCCCGUGCUUUUUAGAACAUAGAUGGCACCAGUCAGGUGACCAUCGAAACGCAAUACGCCGCGUAGACUUCGGUCACGACGGUAUGGCGAGCUGCGCCGUCCACGUUUCUCUUUCUUCAAGAAGACAAAAAACCGCGUCGACCGGUUCCCCGAAUGGGCCCGUAGCUCAGUUGGUUAGAGCACACGCUUGAUAAGCGUGGGGUCGGAAGUUCAAGUCUUCCCGGGCCCACCAUUUGCAUUUGCGAAUGAGGGUUUGGGAUGAUGGAAUGUGGACGAUGCGGAAUGUUGCCGAACCUGGUUUAUGCCGGGCGAUCGAGCUGAUGGGGCUGUAGCUCAGCUGGGAGAGCACCUGCUUUGCAAGCAGGGGGUCAGCGGUUCGAUCCCGCUCAGCUCCACCAAAUCGAUUGGUGUCGAGACUGACUGGUUGAGAUCGGCAUGUUUGUCUUUUGAAGAAAAUACAAGUUUGCAUCGGCUUUGAGCCUGAUGCCUGUUCUGCAUAUAUCGUGAAGAGAAGAUUGAUCUGGAGGCUUCCAGGUGUUGUGAGUUUUGCUCAUGACGUCCGAGCCCAGUUCCUGUGAACCCAUGGAUGGCCUAGCCGGCCGGAUAUGGUGGGGGGACUGGAGGUAGGAAGGAAGCUUGUCGCUCUGGGUCGUUGUUGUUUGCAGUCUUUCGAGACUGCAUCUGACGGACGACUUGAUUGCCGUUGCCUGACCGCGCGGUAUCGGAUCCAAUCUCGAGAAGCUGGUCUUAAGACAGGCUGCAAGUGGGCUGCUCGGCGUAGCUCCAAUAAAGCAGACCUGUCGAACACGUCGAUGGCAUUGUUGGAUUGACUGGGUUGUAAAAGGUAACCCGGUCUGUUGCCGUUUCCUUCGGGGGACGUGCAGCGAGAUGAUGAGCAUUGGCAAUGAGGACGA